UACGUAGGGUGCGAGCGUUAAUCGGAAUUACUGGGCGUAAAGCGUGCGCAGGCGGUUAUGUAAGUCAGAUGUGAAAUGCCCGGGCUUAACCUGGGAACUGCAUUUGUGACUGCAUGGCUAGAGUGUGUCAGAGGGGGGUAGAAUUCCACGUGUAGCAGUGAAAUGCGUAGAUAUGUGGAGGAAUACCGAUGGCGAAGGCAGCCCCCUGGGAUAACACUGACGCUCAUGCACGAAAGCGUGGGGAGCAAACAGG
Molecule: ribosomal RNA, 253 nt
Filed under: uncultured bacterium
Lineage: Bacteria
Description: partial 16S ribosomal RNA
Rfam family: Bacterial small subunit ribosomal RNA
Source: RNAcentral